This 519-nucleotide ribosomal RNA is filed under the name uncultured bacterium. Its description in RNAcentral is "bacterial SSU rRNA". It matches the Rfam family "Bacterial small subunit ribosomal RNA", at positions 9 to 526 of the family's 1533-position model. The record is from RNAcentral.
GAGUUUGAUCCUGGCUCAGGAUGAACGCUGGCGGCGUGCUUAACACAUGCAAGUCGAACGAAACACCUUAUUUGAUUUUCUUCGGAACUGAAGAUUUGGUGAUUGAGUGGCGGACGGGUGAGUAACGCGUGGGUAACCUGCCCUGUACAGGGGGAUAACAGUCAGAAAUGACUGCUAAUACCGCAUAAGACCACAGCACCGCAUGGUGCAGGGGUAAAAACUCCGGUGGUACAGGAUGGACCCGCGUCUGAUUAGCUGGUUGGUGAGGUAACGGCUCACCAAGGCGACGAUCAGUAGCCGGCUUGAGAGAGUGAACGGCCACAUUGGGACUGAGACACGGCCCAAACUCCUACGGGAGGCAGCAGUGGGGAAUAUUGCACAAUGGGGGAAACCCUGAUGCAGCGACGCCGCGUGAGUGAAGAAGUAUCUCGGUAUGUAAAGCUCUAUCAGCAGGGAAGAAAAUGACGGUACCUGACUAAGAAGCCCCGGCUAACUACGUGCCAGCAGCCGCGGUAAUUC